AUGCUUGGGAAUAUGCCUUAUGGUGGGGGACAACAGUUGGAAACGACUGCUAAUACCGCAUGAUGUCUACGGACCAAAGUGGGGGACCUUCGGGCCUCACGCCAUAAGAUUAGCCCAAGUGGGAUUAGCUAGUUGGUGAGGUAAUGGCUCACCAAGGCGACGAUCCCUAGCUGGUUUGAGAGGAUGAUCAGCCACACUGGGACUGAGACACGGCCCAGACUCCUACGGGAGGCAGCAGUGGGGAAUAUUGCACAAUGGGCGCAAGCCUGAUGCAGCCAUGCCGCGUGUGUGAAGAAGGCCUUCGGGUUGUAAAGCACUUUCAGUAAGGAGGAAAGGUUAAGUGUUAAUAGCGCUUAGCUGUGACGUUACUUACAGAAGAAGCACCGGCUAACUCCGUGCCAGCAGCCGCGGUAAUACGGAGGGUGCGAGC
This 430-nucleotide ribosomal RNA is filed under the name Pseudoalteromonas shioyasakiensis. RNAcentral's name for it is "bacterial SSU rRNA". It matches the Rfam family "Bacterial small subunit ribosomal RNA", at positions 113 to 539 of the family's 1533-position model. The record is from RNAcentral. Lineage: Bacteria; Pseudomonadati; Pseudomonadota; Gammaproteobacteria; Alteromonadales; Pseudoalteromonadaceae.